UGCACUACAUAUACCACCCUGCAUCCCACUGCUGGCUUGCUUCUGAAGCUAAGCAGGGUUGGUCCUGGUUAGUCCCUGGAUGGGAGACCAGAUGCUGCUGGAAGUGGUGUUG
This 112-nucleotide ribosomal RNA is filed under the name Hucho hucho (huchen). Lineage: Eukaryota; Metazoa; Chordata; Actinopteri; Salmoniformes; Salmonidae. The record is from RNAcentral.